This is a long non-coding RNA of Phragmites australis (common reed), 1857 nucleotides long. RefSeq lists it as uncharacterized. The record is from RefSeq and is a predicted model, not a curated record. Lineage: Eukaryota; Viridiplantae; Streptophyta; Magnoliopsida; Poales; Poaceae. The transcript is spliced from 6 exons.
UCUCACCUGCCAGCGUCCCUCCCCCUGCCCCGCGACAAGCGGCCGCUGGCCAGUGGGCCAGUGGCUGGCAAGAGGCCACCCGCGUUGUUUGUUUGUUUCUCUUCCAGUGCGCUCCUUCUGCGGCGUCGCCCGUGCGUCUCCCGGCGGCGCGGGGCCGGACACGGCGUCGGAGGAAGACCAGCGGCGGCCGCAAGAAACGGAGCUCAUCUUCCUUGGCACGGGCACCAGCGAGGGCAUCCCGCGCGUCAGCUGCCUCACCCACCCCACCAAAACCUGCCCGCUAUGCCAUUGCCCUCCGUCUCCAUCUCCGUUUCACUCCCAGCAACGUUGCGUGAUUCAUGCCACGCUUUUUGUUUCAAAAUGUUGUUUACUUCUUCGUCCUGUCCUGCAUGCAGGUUUGCACCAAGUCGGCCAAGCCGGGGAACCGGAACAGGCGGCGCAACACCUCCAUCCUCCUGCGCUAUGCCACCCCGGCACCCCCUCUGGCACCGCCAACAUCCUUGUCGACGCUGGCAAGUUCUUCUAUCACUCGGCGCUCCAGUGGUUUCCCCUGUUUGGGUUGAGGACGAUUGACGCUGUCAUAAUUACCCAUUCUCAUGCUGAUGCCAUUGGAGCUUUGUAACCUUUGCCAACCUUUUUCAGUCCUGCUGUAACUGUUUAACUCAAAGCAACAGUGUUUGUAUUAAUCUGGACAAUAGUCCUUGUUCCUUUUUAUCUUGUCCUCUCCAAAAAGAAAAGAAAAAAAGAUAACUGCUCCCUUGAUGCAGGACUUGAUUGCCUUCGUGGUUGGACAAACAAUGUCCAGCCAUCGAUCCCAAUAUAUGUGGCGGAUUAUGAGGUGAUGAAGAUGACCCACUAUUAUUUGAUUGACACAACUGUUGCUAUACCUGGAGCUGCAGUUUCAGCAUUGCGAUUCAACAUUAUAAAAGAGGAACCAUUUAUGGUUCAUAAUCUUGAGGCUUGUAAUCUGAAAUAAUAAGUAGCAAAAUCAAGAAGUAAACAUAAUGCUGCAUACUGUUAAUGGUAACUAGUGAUUUUUUGUUUUACAAUUAUAAAGUAUGUUUUCCCUGUCAAGUCAGUGGAAUGUUGUAUGGGACUACAAUUAUAAAUUUACGCUUAUCUCCUUGUUUUGGUCAACUAUCAUUGCAAUAGGUUCACUUAAUUAGUUGAGAAUAUGUUAGUAAUAGGCCAAUUUGAAGCUCCGCAAUUCGAGUAAAUUGGAUUAGAAUGACUGCCUGAAGCAAAGUGGGAAGCUUGCCAGCAAGUGAGUUUUAGUAAAUCUGUCACGAAUUAUCGUUUAUUCUUUAAGUUAACUGUCUAAGUGCCCAUUUAAUUUGCUUUUCAUUAUAUCAGUGCAUGCCAAGCGUGUUCUCGGCACAUAACAGAUUGAAAUGCUUCAUUUAUAUUGCUGAAGGUAUGAUUUCUUCAUUUUAGGUAAUUCCUUUGCCUGUUUGGCAUGGUCAGGGUUACCGCUCUCUUGGUUUUCGCUUUGGUGACAUAUGCUACAUAAGUGAUGUCAGUGAUAUACCCGAAGAAACCUACAUACUUCUGGAAAACUGUGAACUUGUUAUAUUGGAAUGAUGCAUUUAAUGGACCAUGAGAAAGUAAACAAUGAUCUUGACAGGCUGAUGGAAACAGAGGGGCUUGACAUCCAGCUUAGCUAUGAUGGUUUCAGGAUACCUAUAAGGCUCUAGAAUUAUUGUUCUUUUGAACACAGGCAUUGUUUUAUCUUUUAAGUGCUGCUUGUUGAUGUUUACAGAGUUUCUCUAGUUCCACUUGAGUAAAAUGAUGAGUAAAAUGAUGAUUACCAAAUGUAAUCUGUUGAGAGCCUUUCAUUUUCUUUCUCCCCUCUCAAAA